RNAcentral lists this ribosomal RNA (375 nucleotides) under uncultured organism. RNAcentral describes it as "partial 16S ribosomal RNA". It matches the Rfam family "Bacterial small subunit ribosomal RNA", at positions 527 to 896 of the family's 1533-position model. The record is from RNAcentral.
GUAGGUGGCAAGCGUUGUCCGGAAUUAUUGGGCGUAAAGCGCGCGCAGGUGGUUCUUUAAGUCUGAUGUGAAAGCCCCCGGCUCAACCGGGGAGGGUCAUUGGAAACUGGGGAACUUGAGUGCAGGAGAGGAAAGUGGAAUUCCACGUGUAGCGGUGAAAUGCGUAGAUAUGUGGAGGAACACCAGUGGCGAAGGCGACUUUCUGGCCUGUAACUGACACUGAGGCGCGAAAGCGUGGGGAGCAAACAGGGAUUAGAUACCCUGGUAGUCCACGCCGUAAACGAUGAGUGCUAAGUGUUGGGGGGGGUUCCCCGCCCCCUCAGUGCUGCAGCUAACGCAUUAAGCACUCCGCCUGGGAGUACGGUCGCAAGACUG